UACGUAGGGUGCAAGUGUUAAUCGGAAUUACUGGGCGUAAAGCGUGCGCAGGCGGUUUUGUAAGUCUGACGUGAAAUCCCCGGGCUCAACCUGGGAAUUGCGUUGGAGACUGCAAGGCUAGAAUCUGGCAGAGGGGGGUAGAAUUCCACGUGUAGCAGUGAAAUGCGUAGAGAUGUGGAGGAACACCGAUGGCGAAGGCAGCCCCCUGGGUCAAGAUUGACGCUCAUGCACGAAAGCGUGGGGAGCAAACAGG
RNAcentral lists this ribosomal RNA (253 nucleotides) under uncultured bacterium. RNAcentral's name for it is "partial 16S ribosomal RNA". It matches the Rfam family "Bacterial small subunit ribosomal RNA", at positions 524 to 776 of the family's 1533-position model. The record is from RNAcentral.